UACUCGCAGUAAGAAGCACCGGCUAACUCACGUGCCAGCAGCCGCGGUAAUACGGUAGGGUGCGAGCGUUAAUCGGAAUUACUGGGCGUAAAGCGCAGCGCAGGCGGUUGAGAUAAGUUAGAUGUGAAAGCCCCGGGCUCAACCUGGGAAUUGCGAUUUGAAAAUGUCUCAGCUAGAGUACUGUGUCAGAGGGGGGUAGAAUUCCAGGUGUAGCGGUGAAAUGCGUAGAGAUCUGGAGGAAUACCGGUGGCGAAGGCGGCCCCCUGGACAAAGACUGACGCUCAGGUGCGAAAGCGUGGGGAGCAAACAGGAUUAGAUACCCUGGUAGU
RNAcentral lists this ribosomal RNA (329 nucleotides) under uncultured Aeromonas sp. Its description in RNAcentral is "bacterial SSU rRNA". It matches the Rfam family "Bacterial small subunit ribosomal RNA", at positions 475 to 794 of the family's 1533-position model. The record is from RNAcentral. Lineage: Bacteria; Pseudomonadati; Pseudomonadota; Gammaproteobacteria; Aeromonadales; Aeromonadaceae.